Molecule: non-coding RNA, 2177 nt
Organism: Chiloscyllium plagiosum (whitespotted bambooshark)
Lineage: Eukaryota; Metazoa; Chordata; Chondrichthyes; Orectolobiformes; Hemiscylliidae
Source: RefSeq, a predicted model, not a curated record
UAAGAAAGAAACAGAAAAGAGUAAGGGAAAGGAGCAAGUGUAAGACCAAAAUUUUCCUAAAUAACUUUUAAUGAGUCUCAGACAUCUUUCCUCAUGCACUGUGGUGUAGUUGGGCUUGUUCUGUUUGAAGAGAACAUUGAGAGGUGAUUUAUAACAGGUAGAACAAAUCACAAGGAAUCUCGACAGAAGGGAAAGGGAGAAAUUGUUCUCAUUAGUGGAGAAAUCAAGACCCACAGAUUUAAGGCACUUUGUAAAAGGAGCAAAGGUUACAUGAGGAAAAUCCAGUUCAUCCAGCAAAUGUUAGGAUCUGCAAUACUCUGCCUGUGAGUGAUAGGUUCAGUCGAGACAUUCAGAGGAGAACUGUAUUAUUACCUCAAAAAGAAGAAUGUGUGCGCCAUGGGCAGAGGACGGAGAGCCAAAACAGAGAGAGUGAAUGAGUGAAGUUCAUCGCUGAUUGGUUUCCACUAGAUGCUAUCAACUUUGCAGAGGUAUUUGGAAGUUUGAAGUAUUUGAAGUUCCUAAGUCUACAGGGAGUGUUGUGGCACAUGCUGGAAGCCUUGGCUCUGAUUUCAAGGGUUCUACUGAGACCACUUGCAGGCAGCUCACAGCUCUGCAAAGCUCCACAAAGGGCCAUAUGAGUGAAAUUUGGGAUCUUCUUGUCUGUGGAAGAAUAGAAUGGUGAAAUUGACCAGAAAUUAAACAACACCGACAUGACUGCAAGUGCUUAUGAUGGAGAAGAAGAAAAACCCUAACAAGCCCAUGCCUUCCUGUAGUUGUAUCAAUGCCAGACCCUCCAACAAACUCUGCUGAUUGGAUGAAAGCCAGCAGAGCCUUGUCAUAUGCUUUCCUGACAUCUCCUAUCAACACGGAUAAUUAAAUACAAAGACUUGGCAAGGGAUAGAAGAUAUAAGAAAAUAAAUGUAUUCAAUGUAAAACAUAGAAAUCUAAAUGACUAAUUUGAGAAUUUAUAAAAAUUGUAAUCAAUGCUAGUAAUGGAGAAUUAAAGCUCAGGAAGCAGUGUUGUGUCAGGACUUUAGGACCCUGAAGCAAUCUUCUGAUGAUGUCAUAGAGGUGUUCUUCACAAGACCUAAGUAACACAUUGUGGAUGGAGUUAAGAAAGUAAGAGAGAAACUUAUGGAAAGAGUAGUCUUUCUACAGUGCAACAGCAAAGUUAAUACCUUGCAAAUUGUCUGAAUACCCUGUAUUCUAGAAUUUAGUUUUGGUAUAUAAUAGAGUAUUGUAAAUAAACCCAAGGCUGAAGACAGUUCUUGACCUUGCCUUCUCCUCAUUCAGCCUGUUUUGAACCCAAACCCUGAUGUGUGGGCAUAAAAUCACAUUAUUAAAAUGGCUUUCUAAUGUUAUUGCCCUCCCUGACUCUCAAUUGUUCUUAGGUCCUCCUUUAUUUAGCUAUCAGCUGCUGCAGUACUUGGUGAGUCCCUAAACUCCUAUUAACACACGUAUCCCAGUGACAUGAGCAAUUGCUGGGGUUUAAUGGAGAGCAUUUUGCGGUAGAUACUUUUAUUUACUUUGAUGUUGAGGAUAAUGCAGAUCCUUUGAGCGAGAUCAGCCACGUCAGAAAUUCAGUAUAUCUGAGUCCACUUCAAAAGACUUUGUUAGAUUUGAAUUUAUGAAAUGCUGGAUUUGUUGAAACCAUGACUGAAACAGCAACCAAAUCCUUAACUAAGCCUAAUGACGUUCUCUUAACUUAACAUUGUAAACUGUAGUGAUUAUUUAUAAUUCUGUGUCUAUUCUACAGGCUUACAAUGAUUAAAAGGAUCAUAAGCACAAAUGUAAUAAAUACAAGAGGAAUAUUUGCAUGGCUUGAGAUCAUGCUCUGAAGAAAUAACUGUACGUUCCAGAGUGAUUGCUGGAAUUCCAUCACAAACACAUUGCUGCAUAUUUCCAUAAUACAUAAGUACACAUACAGAUAUUGUCAUUUUUCCUAGCUGUGUGAACACAUAGCUUACACAAAUUGCAACUUAUGUACUUGAAACUGUACCGUGGUACUUCAGCCACUCAGCAUGAGAUUGCAUGCUGAACCUUAUCAUUCUAGUGAUCAAGGUCAAGCUGAUCUUUGAUGGUAAUUGGCAGCAGUAAGGGUUCCUGCAGGCUUUCAUAUAAAAUAUGGAAACAAGAAGCACCACUAAGGCAGUUAGCAAUUUUGAAAGUCAAUCCAU